Molecule: ribosomal RNA, 301 nt
Filed under: uncultured bacterium
Lineage: Bacteria
Description: partial 16S ribosomal RNA
Rfam family: Bacterial small subunit ribosomal RNA
Source: RNAcentral
CAGUAGCCACGGGAAUACGGAGGGAGCUAGCGUUGUUCGGAAUUACUGGGCGUAAAGCGCGCGUAGGCGGUUACUCAAGUCAGAGGUGAAAGCCCGGGGCUCAACCCCGGAACUGCCUUUGAAACUAGGUGACUAGAAUCUUGGAGAGGUCAGUGGAAUUCCGAGUGUAGAGGUGAAAUUCGUAGAUAUUCGGAAGAACACCAGUGGCGAAGGCGGCUCACUGGACGACUGUUGACGCUGAGGUGCGAAAGCGUGGGGAGCAGACAGGAUUAGAUACCCCUGUAGUCCCUGUCUCUUAUAC